CGGACGGGUGAGUAAUGUCUGGGAAACUGCCUGAUGGAGGGGGAUAACUACUGGAAACGGUAGCUAAUACCACAUAACGUCGCAAGACCAAAGAGGGGGACCUUCGGGCCUCUUGCCAUCGGAUGUGCCCAGAUGGGAUUAGCUAGUAGGUGGGGUAAAGGCUCACCUAGGCGACGAUCCCUAGCUGGUCUGAGAGGAUGAUCAGCCACACUGGGACUGAGACACGGCCCAGACUCCUACGGGAGGCAGCAUG
This 253-nucleotide ribosomal RNA is filed under the name uncultured bacterium. Its description in RNAcentral is "partial 16S ribosomal RNA". It matches the Rfam family "Bacterial small subunit ribosomal RNA", at positions 99 to 353 of the family's 1533-position model. The record is from RNAcentral.